RNAcentral lists this ribosomal RNA (350 nucleotides) under uncultured bacterium. Its description in RNAcentral is "bacterial SSU rRNA". It matches the Rfam family "Bacterial small subunit ribosomal RNA", at positions 527 to 881 of the family's 1533-position model. The record is from RNAcentral.
GUAGGUGGCGAGCGUUAUCCGGAAUGAUUGGGCGUAAAGGGUGCGUAGGUGGCAGAUCAAGUCUGGAGUAAAAGGUAUGGGCUCAACCCGUACUGGCUCUGGAAACUGAUCAGCUAGAGAACAGAAGAGGACGGCGGAACUCCAUGUGUAGCGGUAAAAUGUGUAGAUAUAUGGAAGAACACCGGUGGCGAAGGCGGCCGUCUGGUCUGAUUCUGACACUGAAGCACGAAAGCGUGGGGAGCAAAUAGGAUUAGAUACCCUAGUAGUCCACGCCGUAAACGAUGAGAACUAGGUGUUGGGGGAAUAACUCAGUGCCGCAGUUAACGCAGUAAGUUCUCCGCCUGGGGAGU